Molecule: transfer RNA, 52 nt
Filed under: Spheniscus magellanicus (Magellanic penguin)
Lineage: Eukaryota; Metazoa; Chordata; Aves; Sphenisciformes; Spheniscidae
Also listed under: 1 other name
Description: tRNA-Glu
Source: RNAcentral
GCAACGGCGGCUUUUCAGGCCGUAGGUCUUGGAGAAAAGCCAAGCAGGAACU